RNAcentral lists this ribosomal RNA (516 nucleotides) under Aeolothrips intermedius. RNAcentral's name for it is "partial large subunit ribosomal RNA". The stretch from base 392 to 516 matches the Rfam family "Bacterial large subunit ribosomal RNA", at positions 2473 to 2598 of the family's 2925-position model. Lineage: Eukaryota; Metazoa; Arthropoda; Insecta; Thysanoptera; Aeolothripidae. The record is from RNAcentral.
AAAACAUGUCUUAUUGAUUUAUAAUUUUAGGUUUAUCCUGCUCAAUGGUUUACUAAAUAGCUGCAGUAUUUUAACUGUACAAAGGUAGCAUAAUCAUUUGUUUCUUAAUUGGGGGCUUGUAUGAAUGGUUGGACGAAGUAUUUUCUUUCUUUAUUUUAAUUUAUGAAUUUAAUUUUUUGGUUAAAAUUCCAAGAUUUUUUUGAGGGACGAGAAGACCCUAUAGAAUUUUAUUAUUUAUAAAUAUUAUAAAUUUUAUUUUUUAAUUUUUGUUUUGUUUAAAUUAAUUUGGUUGGGGUGAUUGUGAAAUUUUUUUAACUUUUAUUUAUUAUUUUUCAAUAAUUUUUGUCUUUUUGAUCCUUUAUUAUGGAUUACAAGAUUAAAUUACCUUAGGGAUAACAGCGUAAUUUUUUUGGAGAGUUCAUAUCGAUAAAUGAGUUUGCGACCUCGAUGUUGGAUUAAAAUAAUUCUUAGGUGUAGGUGCUUAGGAUAUAGGUCUGUUCGACCUUUAAAUUUUUA